GAAGGAAAAUAAGUAGUAUUAUGGGGAAGGGAAGGGAAGGGAAGGGAGGAAGAUAAUUGAAUCAAUGUAACCCUAAAACUGAAAGAUAGAAGCAAAGAGUUAACAGUAGUACCGGAAAAUACCUAAAACAGAGCAAAUAGCUACAAACACAAUACUAGCACCAAUGGCAGGGAUGGACUAAUUAAUAUGUCAAAAACAACACUAACAUCAAAAGGACAUGCAACGAUGAAUUAUACUAUUAAAAUUCUAACGUCAAAUCGACGUUUGACGUUAACUCAGAGAUUCGUCAAAGGAAAACUGUUAAGGCAUGGGUCCUCCGACUGUUAAGGCAGCGAUUCAAAGCAGAAGAGCAGAGAAGAAAGGGAAGAAGAAGAAUAUCAUACCUGGAACUUAGCGUUGAAGAAGAAAGAAGAUCUUCUGAAAAACCCUUUGAAAGCAGCGAAAGAAAAGAGUCCAAAGUAGCAGGCGUUUGGAUGAUUUUUAUUUUAUUUUAAAAAAAUAUUUUUUGAGUUAAGUUGAAAUUUGAAAUUAUGUUUUGACAUAUAUUUUACUUAACAAAAAUAUUGUAAUUUUAUGAGUUGAAAAAAGAAUUUCCGAAAACUUAUAAAUUUUCAUGACAAACACUUUUUUUUUAAAUCCGGAAAAAAGAAAAAAGACCUAUCCAAGUUAGUUUGAAUAAAUAGAGAACCUUUUCUUCUGUGUGAAUCAAUGUAACCCUAAAACUGAUAGAUAGAGCAAAGAGUUAACAGUAGUACCGGAAAACACCUAAACGAAGCAAACAGCUACAAACACAACACUAACACCAAUGGCAGGGAUGGACUAAUUAAAAUGUCAAAAGCAACAACUAUAAACACAACACUAAAACCAAAAGGACUUGCAACGAUGAAUUAUACAAUUAAAAUUCGACGUUUGACGUUAAUUCAGAGAUUCGUCAAAGGACACUGUUAAGGCAUGGGUCCUUCAACUCUACACUAAAGUCCCCUUCGAUUGAAGGAUUCACCGAUGGAUUUAAUGAGUUGAUUGCGCAAUAAGGAGGAUGCCAUUUCAAACGGUGUUGUGGAGAGCAGAGAAAAGCAAUUGGGGAAGAAGCAACAGCAGAAAAAGAAGAAAGAAGAAAAAAAUGGCGAUUCAGAGAAAAGAAGAGCUUAGAAGAUCAUACCUGGAACUUAGCCUUGUGAAUUGAUCGCAGUCCUGGGUUUAUAUUGAAUGUGGA
RNAcentral lists this long non-coding RNA (1213 nucleotides) under Nicotiana tabacum (common tobacco). RNAcentral's name for it is "long non-coding RNA (NTAB_LNC004550)". The record is from RNAcentral. Lineage: Eukaryota; Viridiplantae; Streptophyta; Magnoliopsida; Solanales; Solanaceae.